UGUUCUUGCGUCACCUGAUGAGGCCA
RNAcentral lists this non-coding RNA (26 nucleotides) under Rattus norvegicus (Norway rat). Lineage: Eukaryota; Metazoa; Chordata; Mammalia; Rodentia; Muridae. The record is from RNAcentral.